AAUACCGAAGAAUGAAGAAAAAAUACUGAAAAAUAUGGAAGAAUGAGAGAAAACUACAGAAGAAUGAAGAAGCAAUAUCAACUAAAAAACUAAAAAAAACGCCAAAACCAUUAAUAAAAUGCUGACAGUCAACUUUGCCACUGUCGUUUCUCCAUGCUGAGUGCCAAACUGUCAGGUGGAUGGAUGAUCUCCCUGUGUGUGGAUGCACUCAUGGCCCCUCCUGGGGCAGGAUGCCGGGCUGGCACGAGGGCAUGGGAUAAAUCCCACAGCCUGCAGCAGGCUGGCCCUCCCUGCAAGGAGCAGGCAUCUGAACAAGGGCCGAAAAGUCACGUUUUGGGGGUGCCAUGAGGUGGCUCAUUUUCAGGGUUGGUGGGUUGGCUGCACCUCCUGCCCUGUCAGUACCGGCCACUGGGUUUUGGGGGUGGGAUUUGCCAGGUCAGACUCAUCACGGCCCCUGGGCUUUCUGCAUGGGGAUGGAGAGAAAUGGGGCUGUAAGAGUGAUCUUGUCCCCAAAGCGGGAUCUCCAAUGGCUGAUCGUGUUGUAAAUGGGAUCCACAGGUUCCUCCUAGAGGCGAUAAGGGGGCGGUUGGAUGCUGAAUUUGGUGACAGAUCAUCUGAAAGUGUUGUCUGCAACUGCACAGCCCCCCUUGGAGCAGCGUUUUUGGGAUGCUGCAGCCCACUCUGCCCCAGCAGCCAGACCCAAAAAUGUUCCAGUAAAAAAGUACCUGUCCAGGGGUUGGGUCAGUGGCAGCAGUGGGGCACAGCUCCACCUCCAGCUCAGCAACCACAGUUUUUUGGGUGUUCCCCCAAGAUCUCACCAGGUCAGCUCACAGCACCUUCCUUGGAUGGAUUUGCCCCUAAAUAUCAGAUUUGCUUCCAGUGGCAGAUGGAAAUGGGGGACUGGGAGAAUCCCACCUCAGUUCCUCUGCUUGGUUGAUUCCAGGAGCAGUUUUCCUAGCCCAAGCUGGCAUCAGGCCAAAGUCAGAAGCUUUUGCCUGAUGCCAGGGUGCUCCAUGGCUCUGCCCCGGCUGGGUGAGCUGGGGUGAAGCAGAGCUGUAGGGCCGCUCCCCUCCUGCCUCAGGCUGCCUCAUCCUGCCUGGGAAAAGCCCUUCUCUUGAGGAUGUCACCGACUGUCACACACCAGGAGCUACCAGAGCACCCUGAGCCCAGCGUGGCCACCAACCUGCAGCCACCUUGUCCAGGUGAAGGCGAGAGGGAGAGGGCUGAGCUGGCAAAGUCCCUGCACUUCCUUCAUUCAAGUGUCACGCUGGGACACAGCGCUCAGAAAGUGGCUUUGCUGGCACCCAGGGGCCACGCAGCUGGGAACACUUGAAAACAAAAGCCAGCAAAAUCCAGCCCGUGCUUGGCAGCCUAUUUGGCUUAGUGGGAGUUAUUUGAAGUUAGCCCAGUGCAAGAGCUGGCUCUGCUCCUCCAUCCAUUGCAGGAUGAGGACAGAGGGGAGCAAUGGAGCUGGGUUAGGGCUCGCUUCUCCUUCCCACACCCUUGGGAGCUGUCGGGAGAGUCAUUUUUUGCACAAGGAAAACCUCCUCCCAGGCUUGGAUUUUACCAUUCUGCACAGUCCACCAUGAAAAAAGCUUUUCAUAAAAGAGCCCUAUGGUCCCCAUGUCCAUGCAAGUUAAACAAGGAGGAGGUUUGUCUUUGGGCACAGGGACAUCUCUGCCUGUGUGAUAACCCCAGCAGCCCCUCUCCCUCAGCAGAAAUUCCCUCAUUGCCACAUUUUAAGCAUUUUACCACCAAGGCUCUCAGUCUCUGGGUGCUGCAUUAAGUGCUCGCAGUCCCUUGCUUCUGUAGUGGGCAGCACAUUUAAGUCUCACCGCUUCAAGCAACAAUUGCCAUUUAAAUGUCCCCAGCUCAGCAGAGCGAGGCCGGGGUGAGCUGAGCUGCUGGGACACCUCUUGCUCCUUCCCAGCAGUGUUCUUGCUCUCCACUGCUUCGAGGAGAACAAAAGUUCUUCCUCAGUCCAUGUGGAGGAGCUGCUCCAGUUUUUAAUUGGAUACAGUCUGCUUGCUCCCAUGUGGCCACAGGCACUGCUCCAAAUCCCGGCUCUGCCUGCACAGUGUGCUCAGGCCCUCUCCUUGCAUGCAACCUGACUCAGCUGCCUCCCUCCAAAGCUGUGCAUCCCCCAGAACUUUAGCACUGUCUUUCCCAACAGAUGAUCCUCUUCACCAGCAAAUGCUGCUGCAGAGAACCAAGUCAGGUCGGAGUCUACUCAUCCCUGUUUGGAGAUAAGCAAAAGACCACAGAAAUACCUUGCAAGGAAGCUGUGGACAAAGAGGAGACAAUAUUGCAACUACAACCCUGUGAGUGUAGAGCAAAAUGGGGAGCUUCAUGGCUCUCCUGCACAACUCUUUAGCCCAGUUGACCUUUUUUCCCCCAAAAGACCGAUGCUGUUGACACAUCUUUGCCUGACAAACCCUCAGAAGUCCCAGGUCAUUAUUGUAGAGACUGCUGCUAACUGCUAAAAGUUAGCACAAAGUUAGCAGCUUUGUGUUGCAGUUAGCACCUACCUUUAGAAAACAAAAAAAAACCCGAGGGCAAUUGUCCAGCCCUUUCUCCAACCUGCCACAAUUCUUUCCCAGUCCUGCUUCUGUCUUCCUGAGCACUCAGUGCUGAUUCCAGCUUGAUACCAUCAGAAGCACUGGGGCCUCACUCCCCCUUCCACGACCUCUGCUGCCAGCAGAAGCACCAAAUUGGACUUGAUGCAAGACUAAAGCCCCUGGACCCUCAAAUUAAUUCUGCUUCACAGGGUGGGAUAAUCACUGAAAUUAGAUUGAGGUAUUUUUUUCUCCUGACCAGCACGGGCUGGAGACAAUCUGUCACCUGCAAAUUUUGUCCCAAGGAUUAGAUAAGCUUUUUAGGGCAUAGAUCCCCAAACUCCUCUUUUUCUUGCAACUUAGAGGCACUGUUUGGCAAGAGACAGCAGAGGAGCAACAUCCCACAUGCCAUUGGUGCUUUCAGGACGCUGCUGUGGCUCCCAGAGUUUAUCAAUGAACUCCCUGCACUGGAGCAGCAGUUUCCCACAGGCCCAGAGCACCCAGUGCUCUGUAACACCAGGGCACCCACAGCUCUGGCUGCCAUCCCGAGGGGAGCAAAGAGAACUCUCAUCUAGCAAAGAGAAAUAACGUGAGCAGGAGGCGCUUCUGCCUCCUAAGCAGUAUAUCCAAAUAUCCAAAUACUACUGCAAAAGCAAGUAAACAAUGAUAAAUAUUGUUAUCUUGAGGGAGGCUGUUGACACUAACGUGCUUGACUUUGCAGGCUGAAUGCUGGCAGGGGCCAACAGCAGCUCAGUGGAGGGGCAGUCCUGCUGCUAAGGCACUGUGACCCCCUCUGCUCGACUUUGCAAGGAUAAGGGAUGAAGCUGGACUCAAACAGUGUCCGAGCACUCAGCUGAUUCAUAUUGCAGAUAGAAAAAGCUUUCACUGAAGAUUUGCUAACAGAAAGUCAAAAGUGCCACCCCAGCAAAGGAAACUGUGCCACCUCUCCCUAUGUCUCUUGGCAGUGAAAUGUGUUCUUUCAUGUUUACUAGUUCUGGCAUUCAAUGCAAAUCAAACCCAACAAAAAAGAAGUUUUUGCUUGCUCCUUCGUUUCUUUCCUCUUCCUCCUCCCUGAACUAUUUUUUCCCCAUAUUCUCUCUCUGGUUCAUUCUUCAUGAACCAGCAGAAAGCUGGGUCUGUUAAGGAAUUUUACUGCCUUGGUAGAAACUCUGCAAAUCUACAUAAGCAGAAAAUCUUGUCACGUCUCCUCACAAAUUGAAAAGGAGAGCUAAAUGAAAUCCCACUGGGAUGCUCUGGCUACCUCAGUGCAACAAGGUUCAGCUUAAGCUGCUUGUUUCACUUGCUGCAUUGCCUGGUUUUAAUCCAAUUUGGUUCGGGACACAUAAAAUAGCCGCUUUUCCGCCCUCCAGGAAGCAGCGGGUGCAACCAGAGCCGAGCAAAGUGCUGGCUGGUCCUGCCUCAUGUGCACACACCCCAAGCUGUGCUCACUUCUUGGCUUGUGCUUUAGCACUACCUUUUGUCAUCUGCAACGUUUUUGUCAAAAUGUCACCUGAGUCACUACCAACCAACAGCUAAAGUGCAACGGUUGGUGCUAUGGCAGCAAAGCCCCCAUGAUGCAGAGGCCAGGAGCUGGCUGCUUGCUCAUCCACUCUUGGUCACCCCAUGGAUUACCACAGCCUAACACCACAUCAUCCCUGUUAGAGGGAGACAUGGAGGACAGCCCUCCUCUGAUGGCUCUGACUCCAGCUUCCCCUUCCCCACCAGCCGCCCCUCUGACACCACACCUCCCCAAGGAGCAGCAGGGGCUGCAUUGUUUCCAUCCAAGCAGCCACCACAGCCAGCUCUGUCCAGCACUGUGCUGUCCCCCAGGCCUGCUUUUACAGGAAUUAAAAUUAAAAAAGGUGCUGCCCUGCAACAGCCUGGAGAGAAAAAUGUUAAGAAGUGCCUGUACACAGCUCCGAGUAAGGCCCGGGCUGCAGGAGCCCCAGCACUGCCUGGCUUUACCUGCACCUCAGCCCAGACUCUGCAGGAGCUGCCGAGGGGCCGCCCUGCUCCACGAGAACAAAAUCUUCCCAGAGACAGAGGCAGAAAUAGCCACAGAGUGGCUUCAUGCCUAAAACACCAGCAAAGCAGCUCAGCCUCUCAUGACAGCUGCCCUGCACAGUGAAGAGACACUGAUUUGUUCCUUCCUUCCAUCCCAGAAUCUUGCCCCUUUGACUCCAGACAGAGAUGAGCAAAUAUUUAAUUAACACGUUUGACCUUUUAUCAGUGCUCCAUGCUGAUGGCUUCCUGCACACCAGCUAGGUGUGCUUUCCUGCAGCCUGCUGCAAACCUGGAAAUAGAAUGGUGUUACAAGGUUUCUUCACAUAUCUUUGAACAUUUUCUGAAACUCUGGAUUUGAAAACUGAGAACAUGAAAGAGUCAUCUUCCACUAUUAUUUUAAUAGCAUUUAAGUUUGUAUCUUUUAUUCCUGUUGAGUUGUAUAAAAAUAGAAAACAAGUGUUACCUAGAAAAUCAAAAGUCAAAGGAUUCAAAUCAAAACAUUUUAAUUCUUUUUCCUCUGUAUGUUUAAAAUUUUACAGAUUUCUUGUGGUAACACAGAGAGUUGACUGAACAUAAAUGAUGCCUCAGAAUAGCUGAGAACAGAGAGUAGAGAGCAUCCUGCUCCUUCUGGUUUAGCUGGCAUUACCAGAGACCUCACAAUGUCAUUCUACCAGCCCUUAUUUUCCUGAUCAUUGUUAAAAUGCCAAAAAUUCUCAUGUCAGUGAUUUAUUUUCAGUUUACAGGAUAUGCAGGUGUAUGGCCUGACCCCUUCCCUUCCCCUCACCUGGCCAGAGCAGGAUGGUUCAGCAAGGAUUCCUCAUUCAAUUAACACAUCCAUUAUUUCAGCCUGAAGCUCAGCGAGACUUGGAGGUAAUACAAAGCAGGAGAAACCUCACCUGCAUAAGGGAACACUUGGUUAUGUUCACAGGACAUGCACUGUAUGUCACUGAGACCUAUUUUUAAAGUACAGCAGCACCAGUUAUAUUUGAUAACUAUAAACGUUUUAUUCUUAUAUAAAAAUAUCGGAACAAAAUACUAUACAGAAAAAUAUAAAGUUAAGUCGAGAUCUUCUCAAUCCCUUUUAAGACAAACAGGCUCACGCUGUGCAAGCCCCAGACUUUCAAAAAUAAAAUUAUCCUGGCAGUUGAAGUGGUGGCACAACCAGAGGCAGAGCUGUGCUGAGGAAUAAGCUUCUAAUACAGGGAAUUUGUCUUGCAGCUUCCAAUAUCCUUGCAAGUUUGUUUUUGUUACACAUAAAACAGAACCCAAGUCUUCCUUCAUGGUCUGACCUGGAGAUAAACGUUCUCCCACCCCUCAGAGUAUUUACAGGAAGGUGCUAAGAGCCCACCUGGCCAGGACACAUCCCCAGGCUGCGACCCCACCCCGUGGGCUCACAUUGACACAAACCAGUGGCUGCAGCACCCUCACACAAACACAACUGGAACCUCUCUGUCACCAGCUGUGAGCUGGAAACCACGACUUAGGGAGGCAAAAGUCAGUGAAAGCAAGCUGAUGAAAUCUCUGAGCUUCUACCAAUUCCUCAAAACAGAAAAAACCCAACUCCCCUCCCCCAGACAACAAAAGCAGCCAGCAUUCUUUUCCAAGGUACUGGCUGUUUCAGUACAUUCCUGUCUUUAAGGAAGGACACUGUGGACUGCAGCAGCCAACAGUGUAAGAAUCAUCUCCCUCCUCUUUACCUGUACUUCUCCAGUACUAAUUUCACUUUCCACAACCAAACUGUCCAAGUUUGCUUGCAGAUGAAGCAGGAACAAGAGGAGGGAAUGGAGAAGGCAGAGAAUUAAGGAAUUACAGUGCAAAUUAUAUGCUCAUAGGAAAAAAAAACAAACACAAAAGAAAAACGUUCUCUGUAGAUUUUCCAGGCCUGUUCUCUCCAUUGCCUCAAAAUAGGGUUGGUGUUUGUCAGGGAAUAAGUUCCAACUGACCUUAGACCUUCAACAGAAGGUGGGAGUGUGUUCCCCAAAGCAGUGAACCUGCUGUCACACUGUGUAUCAGCAAUGCCUGCGAGAUGCAACAUCACCACCUUUUCAUCACCCACUAAUCACGGCAGGACUCCACCAGAAAGUGCAGUGGGAGUCUCAGGUCUUCACGUUCCUCUUAUAUUAUUCAUUUGUAGCAGAGAUUUGCAAGUCCCUGUGCUGUAUUCACAGUGGAAAAAAAGUGCAGCAACACAUGUUGGAGACACUCCAGGAAUUAUUGCUCUGCUGAGGCAGCUUGUGGAGUCUGACUAAAGAAAAUUGGCCGAAGAAGAAAUAAGGGCAGGCCUAAAGAGGAAGACAGAGAAAGAAAGGAAUUGCUCCAGGCACCAACACAUCCUAGUUCCUGCCUACUGCCAGAAAGGUGCUGUUAUGGAUCCUGUCUCCUGUAAGCAGCACGAGCAGCAGUUGUGUAGGGUUGAUCAGCAGCAUAUUUGGACAGUCUGUGGCAGGUGUUGGGACAGUUCACUGCCACCUGUAGAUAUUCACCACCUUCUCUGUCAGAGUAGCCAGGAGGUGGGUUUGGUUCACUUCCAAGGGGCAGAUAUCCAGCACAGGCAGGUCAGCUGGCAGCUUCUGCAACAAGGAACCACUUCCAGCAUCCCAGAGCUGUGGAAGGGACAGACAAGGUCAAGGACUGAAGGAUUCUUCCCUCCCAUCCAGAAGAGACCUUCCUCUCACCAAAAAGACUUUCCUCAAAUUACUUACAGGACCCUUUCUCUACUUCCACACCCUGCUUGGGUGGUUUUUAACAGAAUCACAGCAUGAUGCCACCACAGCCACUCUCUCUGACCCCACUCAUGAGCUCUCCUCCUCUUCCCUGUCAUUCCUAAAGAGCCUGCAUCCUUCCCUCACAGCACUUACCACAUUAGCUACCCCACCAAGUCUGUUACACCACUUAGAGUGCCCAGUUGUGCCAGUGUACCCAACCCCAUUCCUCUGGGGGACAAGAGGGGCUCACUGCCUACACACUUUUCAAUGGAUGGGGACCACAGGCCUUGGCUAAGAUCGAGUCCCAUGUUAUCAGGAAGUUACACCUGCUACAGAAGUACAACACACCAACCAACACAGGGUAAUGUCCAUGACAACUCCCACCAAAUCACACUGAUGCUGUGACUGACGAGGCUUCUCUCCUAUGAACUGCAAUAAACCCCUCCAGCACACUGAAAGGAGCAAGAGAUACCAGGGCAGAAUUGGACGCCUCAUCACCAGCACACACAAAGAUGUUCCCGUCAUCCUCCGGGCUCUGGAAAAUGGCAUUUUUGGUCAGCAACUUGCAGGUGGGCCCAGCACUGAAAGUCUGAACCGGGUUAGAAGAACACACCACAUCUUCAGAGGCCUCUGUCAGUGGGCUGCAAGUCAGUUCCAUCAUCACACAACGCACAUAUGGGUUAUUUUUACCUGUGUGGUAGAAAUACAAAGGUAACCUUUGGAAAAUGUCCUCACAGAUAGGCUUCAGCUGUAGGAAUACAAGCAGCACCACCCUGCAGCUGCCUCCUUUUGCCCUCCCCUGGUUCUUAUCUAUGUGCAGAUGCUCACUGCUGUGGUGGGGGCAGAUGCUGCAUUCCUGCUGUGCCCCCAAGCUGGUGCUGAGCUGAGUGAGUGGCACUGAGAGCCCUGCAGAGCCCCCCGUACGUACCAGGCCGGUACGUGGCCAGGCAGUGCCGUGUGUUGAUCUCGGUUUGGAUAUCGAUGCAGCCCCCGGGCUCCAGGGGCAGGUGAUGGGGCCGGUAGGAGUUGCCAGCUCUCUGCUCCCAAAAGCAGGCUCCUUCCAAGGUCCCAGCCAAUAUCCCGCCGUAGGGCAGCGACGCCGAGGCCACGCGGGGCAGGUAGGACAGUGACACCAUGGGGCACCUGCAAGGGGGACAGGCAAGAGUCAGUGCUGCCAGCUGUGGCUCUGCUGGCAUCCUGCUCGCUGCUGCAGAGCUCCAGCCUCUCCAACUGCACAGCAAAGAAAGGGCCUAAGCAGGCUCCUUCAAGCAAGGAACCCCAGUGGCGUGUCAAGUAUAAAUGGAAUUCAACUUAACUACUGAGCCUUAUGUUUUACAGAGCAUUAGACGGCACACAUCAGAUGAGUGCAAAUCAGUGUUUGAUUCCUGGAGUACAAGAGACAGAAGUAGCAGAAUCUCACACCUUUAUGUGAUUUGUCCUUUCCAAAUUAAAUACUAAACCCAGCUCCAAAACAAAUUCAAUUCUCCUGCUUAUGCUGCACCAGUGGGUCCAUUUCUGCCCCCUGUGUGCCUUAAAAAGAGCACAAGUGCUUGGCACCUGUGUAAGUUAUACAUGAUACAUGAAUUUUUGAACAAGAGAUUCACAUAAACCAACUAAACCCACUGCAAUUGCUGUGUGAAGCUGUGUUUAAGUUAAUGCAUAGAAGUUGAAAGGAACGACAAAUCCUUAUGCCAUACCUGGACUUCUGAGGGACCAGUUCUUGGACAUGAGAGUUGGUGUCCCUCAGAUCAUAUAUCAUGAUAGAGCCAUUGGCCAAUCCAGCGUAGACAUAGUUUGUAUCAUCGAGACACCAGCAGCAGCUCCAGACAGGACGGCCAGCAUUGUAUGUCUGCACCACAGUGUUGGUUGCCAAGCUGCAGAAGAAAAGCAAAGUGUUGGCUGGUUGCACAAGCAUCUACUGAUGAGAAAAAAGCAUAAUUAAGAUUGAUCUUUGGAGACUGGGAGAGGAAAUCUCACAGCAGGGUCUCAGCUGCCUUACUGGCAAGAGAAAGCCAAGUUACUUUUCUGGAAACAAUUAGGAGAAGCAACUCUGGUGUGAUCCCGUAACACCACAUAUUCCUGAGAUCACAGGGCUCAUCUCUUCAGAUUACAUCUCUCAUUAAUUACUUCUCCUCUUUUUACACAAGAGGAACAGUGCUUAUGCCUCAAAAGAACCAAUUUAAGCAAGAGUGAGACAGGGAGUGGGUAAAGGACAGUUGAGAGCACAUUUAUAGUGUUAAUUCUUCCUUCCACAAAUCAAGUUUCUAAAAAAGAGAGCAGUACACAGAGGAGCAUAACCCAGAACAGCAGAUGAAGCUGGUAUCAGAUCAGGGAUUUGCAAAGGGCAGCAUUGUCAACGUGGGUUUUGCACACUGAGAACAGCAUGAGACAGAAGACAGCACAUAUCAGAGUAACCCUGGAUAUCCUUUACAACAUGGGCUUCUCCCUGGGGAAGGUGAUUACACUCAGGACUCCAGAGAAACAAGUAAUUGCUCUCAGGUAAGUGUAAGGGGGAAAACUACAAGGACAAAACCUAGCUGGGGAAAGAGAGAGUUGAUAUCAAAGAAGUGACUAGGUCAAAACAACAAGACCAAAAAAACCCAAAACAAACUCGCAGUGCUAUUUUAAACAAUUGCAAGCCAGAGCAGGAGACAUAAAGACAUCUUGGAUAAUUCUUUUUCGUAGGAUGACUAUGAAAUCAGUAACUAGAGAAGAAAGAUAACCAAAGGAAGAAUAUUCUUUCAGACAGAGACUGAAAAAAGUAUGAAGAUGCUGCUGAAGCAAGCACCUAACUCCAAGACAUCCUGGGAUCAAGCACAAAAGCAAGAGGAUCACAAGCUCGGAUGCAGCCAACCAGGCAGAGAGAGGCAGAGAUGGGAGUCAAGUGUCUGAGCAGACACUGCCAUGAGGAGCCACUCUCCAGAUUAAACCAUGAAAAGAAUAUCAACAUAAUCAGUUGGAAAUGUGACACAUUGACUUCAGCAUCAGAGGCAGCUUUGUUUACUUUUAACUAGUCUAGCAAACAUUUCAACAGGGUCACAGGAAAGCAACAUUCUGUAUAUUUUUGCUGUGGGAUUAAGUUCUCUUCAUUGCUUCACUAGUGAGAAAGAAUUGGGACUAAUCAGUCAAACAACAGACACCUAUCCUGCCCAACCUGGCACGGACAGACAGAUUGCAAAGAUGUUAAUUUAACUCAAUAAGAAUCAAUCAGCCAAUGAAGCUUUGAAGCAGUGUAAGAUUAAGACUGAAGAGCAGCAGAGUAGCAAGAAAACACACUCAUAGGCUGUAAAUUCUAACAGGACCGGACACAUUUUUGUCUCACUCUCUGCAUAAUUAGUCUCCAACCUGCUGGUUUAAGUCUCUGCUAGCUCUAGAGAGCCUCUGGCACAUGCUGUUUAUGAGUUUCAUAUCCCAGAUGAAUUCCAUGCUCUGCAAGAAGUUUAAAAUCUGAGAAGCCAACAUCAGGCUGUGCAAAGAAGAACAGAGCACAAGCUAAACACCCCUUGUUUCUGCUUUAUCCUAUAUAAGUUCCUACACUUCACAUUUCCCUGCAGUAACAGAAAGCCACGUGGACAGUAAAUUUCAUGUCUGUACAUUAUGCUACAUUUAUUCUCUCCACAACUUGGCCAAUCCAUGUUAAAUUACUUGUUCUCCACCGAGUUCUCCACAGGAAAAUUAUCAUGGAGAGGCAGCUCUGUAACACCUUCACCUAAAAGAUGCAAAACCAUCAGUAAGUCCUUCCCUCUGUUAGCUCCCACAUGCUGGAAGAAUAUCCAGAUCUGCUCUCAUCUUUGCAGCAUCUUUCAGAGGGCAGACUAGCAAGUGCUGCAAGACAUUUCCAGCAAGACAGAACAAAAUCCAGCGCAGCCAAAGCCCGCGGGGACGGGGCUCACCUGGUGAGUCUGAGAGUUCCGUCCAGAGCAGCCGAGAGCAGCAAACCAUCGGCUCGAGUGCCGAAAGCCAGGGCCCGGAUCUGCUUGCUGUGGAUGGGGAUGUACUGACUGCUCUUCAGGUUGGUCAAGCUCAUCAUCUUAACACCACAACCUGCCACAGAAGAAGGGUAAAGCAGGUCAUGGUGAAGCAGCACACACACAGGACUGGCUGUUCUGUGCCAGAACUGCAGUGUCUGUACUGCCUGAAGCCUGUGGUGGGAUGAACACGUAAAAGUUAUUUGCUGUUAUGAAUAAGAAUAAAAUCAUUCUUUAAUUCAAAUGGUAACAAGGCUAAAUCCUUAAGGACCCCAGUCACCAAGAGCAAAUUCAGUAUCACUGUUACAACUCCUGUUACAAGGCCUGCUGCUCUUUAGCCAGCUUCUUCAAAGACACUCUUACCCAGAUAAAACCACACAGAGCAGGAUUACAUGGCUAUUUAAGAGAACAAGUGUCACAGCAAAGAAUGGUUACAGGUGAACUUAACCUGCAUGCUACAAGAGUCACCACAAAGCCUCCAUUCAUUCAUUCCUUGGCCUCAAAUGCCAGAAAAAUAAGACCAGUUGAAUGCAGAAAACCACUUUGUUCUGCCUGGAUAAGGCACAUUAACCUCAAACCCAUUAACCAAAUAAAGUAAGUUUCAUCAUUCAGAAAGCAUUUUGCAAAUAAACACCCUCAGACUCCUAAUGCCACAUCUAUUGCCCUGAAAAAGCAACUGGCACUGAUCCAGAUGUCAGGUCACUGGCCCCUGGACAUAACAGUGAGACAAAACCAGGGCUGCCCAUGACUUCUUGGCUCCCUAUUUCCUCUUUAGAAAACAGUGCUCCUAGCAUUCAUAUUAAAAGGGUUUUGCUUUUG
This is a long non-coding RNA of Chiroxiphia lanceolata (lance-tailed manakin), 12051 nucleotides long. RefSeq lists it as uncharacterized. Lineage: Eukaryota; Metazoa; Chordata; Aves; Passeriformes; Pipridae. The transcript has 3 exons. The record is from RefSeq and is a predicted model, not a curated record.